Molecule: ribosomal RNA, 491 nt
Filed under: uncultured bacterium
Lineage: Bacteria
Description: partial 16S ribosomal RNA
Rfam family: Bacterial small subunit ribosomal RNA
Source: RNAcentral
AGUGAACGCUGGCGGUAGGCCUAACACAUGCAAGUCGAACGGCAGCACAGUAAGAGCUUGCUCUUACGGGUGGCGAGUGGCGGACGGGUGAGGAAUACAUCGGAAUCUACUUUUUCGUGGGGGCUAACGUAGGGAAACUUACGCUAAUACCGCAUACGACCUACGGGGGAAAGCCGGGGAUCUUCGGCCCUUGCGCGAGUGAAUGAGCCGAUGUCGGAUUAGCUAGUUGGCGGGGUAAAGGCCCACCAAGGCGACGAUCCGUAGCUGGACUGAGAGUAUGAUCAGCCACAGUGGAACUGAGACACGGUCCAGACUCCAACGGGAGGCAGCAGUGGGAAUAUUGGACAAUGGGCGCAAGCCUGAUCCAGCCAUACCGCGUGGGUGAAGAAGGCCUUCGGGUUGUAAAGACCUUUUGUUGGGAAAGAAAAGCAGCAGGUUAAUACCCCGCUGUUCUGACGGUACCCAAAGAAUAAGCACCGGCUAACUUCGUG